GAUGAAGAACGCAGCGAAAUGCGAUAAGUAGUGUGAAUUGCAGAAUUCAGCGAAUCAUCGAAUCUUUGAACGCACAUUGCGCCCCUUGGUAUUCCGAGGGGCAUGCCUGUUCGAGCGUCAUUAUAACCCCUCAAGCUCAGCUUGGUGUUGGGGCCUGCCGCACGGGCAGCCCUUAAAAUCAGUGGCGGUGCCAUCUGGCUCUAAGCGUAGUAAUUCUUCUCGCUAUAGAGUCCCGGUGGAUGCUUGCCAUUAACCCCCAAUUUUCUAUGGUUGACCUCGGAUCAGGUAGGGAUACCCGCUGAACUUAAGCAUAUCAAUAAGCGGAGGA
Molecule: unclassified non-coding RNA, 328 nt
Filed under: soil metagenome
Description: partial contains 5.8S ribosomal RNA, internal transcribed spacer 2, and large subunit ribosomal RNA
Rfam family: 5.8S ribosomal RNA (bases 1-120)
Source: RNAcentral